UUUUUUUUUUUUUUUUUUUUUUUUUUUUGUCUUUUGUCUUUUUGUCUUUUUGUUGUUGCUAUUUCUUGGGCCGCUCCCGCGGCAUAUGGAGGUUCCCAGGCUAGGGGUCGAAUCGGAGCUGUAGCCACCGGCCUACGCCAGAGCCACAGCAACGCGGGAUCCGAGCCGCGUCUGCAACCUACACCACAGCUCACGGCAACGCCGGAUCGUUAACCCACUGAGCAAGGGCAGGGAUCGAACCCGCAAAGAGGUGCAUAUUAAAGUGAUGAUUUCAGUGAGCCCAGGUCCCUUUGGUUCCAGCUACCUGCUCUUUGUUGCAAAAACUCCUAUAUAUCCUCGCUCCUCCCUUGCCUCCUCGGAGCGGUUUCUUUGGGGCUACCUGAGAUGCUGUCUCCCAGGCUUAAGUCAUAAUUUUGCCCCAAAUAAAACUUAACUUUCAGGUUGUGCAUUUUCUAAGUCAACGACCUUGUGCCCACCCAUUUAGGAAUGCAGAGAGAGAACUAUCCCUUCCCACUGUUUUAAGUACGCAGUAGUUGCUUGAUUCAAAAAAAGAAAAAAAAAAGUUUUACAGAAAAUUAUAAAGAAAAUAUGGGAAAUGGCAUCCCAUACUUUUAUUACCCAAACAUAGUCUCCUUUAUGUUUUUCUAAUGUCCUAGUUUAUGGGUAUUUUUUUUAAUCAUAGUUGUGAUUACAUUUCCUUCUAAUAUUCUACAUAAGCACUUCUCUGUUGUACAACAAGCCUCACAAAUAUGCAUUAGGUGCAUAAUAUUUCAUCCAAUAAAAUGUUCUAUUAACUAUCUCCUAUUUCUAAAUAUUUAGCAAACCUCAAUUCUUGUGUCAUCUCAUCAACGUUAUCCAUGUUCUUUCCAAAACACGAACGGCUGGGCAGGAAUUGUCAGCCACGAGACCUUAAGGGCUAGCUCAUUCACCAGUAGCCAAGAAGGACGUUUGUAACGAUGAACUACUGGAACAUCCUGAAUUUCCUGUGCUGGAGCAUGAAGAGUGAGGAGGCAAAAAUGGCAGGGCAAGAGGGCACCUUCUAAAAAGACAAAUAUAACUUCAAAUAAUAUAGACAAAUCAUGAAACCUUCAUUCAGCAGUCACUACAUUACAUGCCAACAGUACAUACAAACGUCUCGACAAAGGGCAAAGAUAAUCUAUAAAUAAACAGGGAAUACUAGCAGCACUGCGGAGGUGGGGAUUAACCCUGCCUGGAAGGGCUCCACAGAGGUGGAGCAGCUUGCUUAGGUCUUGACCAAUAAGGAGGAGUUCACUGGCUAGACAAAGGAGAAAACGAAUGUAGGUAAGAAAAUAGUAUGUGCAGAAUUCCAGGUCCUAAAACAGCAAGGUGUGUUCAAGGACCCCCAAGCAGGGCUCUGUGUCUGCAGUGCAGUAAGAGAGGCUGAGGUCAGCCUCGGAAGAUUGGCUGGGGUCAGGUCCUGCCAAACCCUGAUGCCAUGUGUUGUACAAUAAUUUUCCCCAUCCUUGUCCCUGGUUCUCAGACGAAACCCUAAAUCCUCGGAGUUUCCUGAGUGAUCCUUUGUUAUUCAUGGUGGCCCCUGACCUCACCUGAGUUUUUGCUGAUGAAUGAUGUAGGCUGUGGACCAGCCAUCCUGGAAAGAUCAACCCUGAGACUUGGGGCUUUGAGCCAGAUAAUCUCGAGGGGGUAGAAGGAGGCUAGAAUUUGAGUUCCAUCCCAUGACCAAUAAUUCAAGCAUGUCUACAUAAUGGAAUGUCAAUAAAAUGCAAGACACGAUUUUGCUGGUUGAUGAAUAUAUCGAUGUGCAGGGAGGGUGGUGCAUCCUGAUUGCACCAGAAAAGGGCACAGAAGUUCUACAUUCAGGAUGGUCCCCAACCUGCCCAGGGUGUCUCUUCAUUUGGCUGGUCCUGAUUUGCAUCCUUUAUAACAAAACUAUAGUUUUAAGUGUAGCACUUUCCAGAGAGUUUUGUGAGUUGUUUUAGGUAGUUGAGGGAAUCCUUGAAUUUGCAGCGAGUUGGUCAGAAGUGCAGGCAGCCUGGGUUCCCCCCCGCCCCCGCCCUGAACUUGUGGCUGGCAUCUGAAGUGAAAACCGCUCAUCAAGGACAGUGCCCUCAACCUGUACCUCUGUGCAAACUCCAAGUGAUCUGCAUAGGAAUCACACUACAGGAUUGCACCCUGCUAAGAAAUUUGGACUUUAUUUUGAAUAAUUUUAAGUAAAAAGAUAUCAAAUAUUUGUGUCUUAGAAAAAUCACGCUGUGCAGUAUGAAGAACGGAUUAGACAGGGAAGAAUAUGAAGCAGGAAGCUUAUGGAUGGCUGGGAAUCAGGCAGGAGCAAUAAACUAGGCCAACAUACCACAGCCAGGAAUGAGGAUGAAUUACCAAAAAUCUCUGUGAAAGAGGUGUGGGAGGCAGCAAAGAGCACCAUCCCCAGGGGUUGGCUCUGCAAGGAUGUGCCCACCUGUUAUGGGAAGACGACAGCGGUUUAUUGGAAAUAUCACUUUUGAUUAUCGCAAGUUAAAGACUUGGAUCUUUUUUAAAAAGAAGAGGAUCGCUUCUUUUGAUUAUCGCAAGUUAAAGACUUGGAUCUUUUUUAAAAAGAAGAGGAGAUCCUGUUGUGGUGCAUUGGAAACAAAUCCGACUAGUAUCCUUGAGGAUGCAGGUUCGUUUCUGCUGAGCCAGUAUACUUGAUUUACCACCUGAUUGGCUUAUUCACUAAUUCAGUCCCUAUAGAGUGACAAAGCUUUCCUUUUUGUGAAAAAGCAUCCUAAUUUGCUUAUUUUGUGUUAGUUUUUGUAUUUAAAGAAUCAGAAUUCAAGGCAGGUCCCUCAAAUUCGAAGACCUCAGCAAUGAAAUGUCACCUGCUGAUGGUCAUUCAGACUAAGCAACAUCGUUCCCAGUGUAGCUCUCCCACCUGCAUCAUUAGUGAUGGUUAUGUGGUAGACAGACCCUCCAUAAUGCAGCUUGAUUUGCCCAAGUAUAAGAAAUGGAUCUUUCUCUGUUAGACAGAAAGGUGGCAUCGAGGAUGGAAAUUCAUCCCCUGAUUUUUUGCCAUCCUUCGAUGUUCAGCUAACUCAUUCAUCAGAACAAGUUAAAGCAUAAUGUCUCUCAACCUCUCUUGGGAUUAUCAAGGAGCAGAUUGCAACCUUUCACAAUCCUUCAGCAUUUGGGGUGUGUAAUCUUUGGGGGAUUCCACAGAAUGUGCUGAUAAUGGUUUCCUUCUUGACAUUCAAGUUAUGAAUCUUUAAUACUUAAAAAUACAUAGUGCUAAAGAUUCACUACUGAAUCUUUAACACUUAAAAAAUACAUAUUGCUUAAUUUGUUCAUGAAUCUGUGGUUUAAUAAAUGCCAGCAUAUAUAUUACAUUAUGUUAACGUUUAAUAUCUCGUUUGAGCAGUCAGACGUGCAUUAAAAAUUAAAGUAAAAUGAAUUCCCACUUUCCCAUUCUUAGAUUGUAGGUAAUAUUAUUUUACACUGUGCUAUAGUGUUCUACAAAAUUGACGUUCAGUGUUUUGAGUUAAUGUACUUUGUGAUUUAUUUACUGCCUGGGGUGUUACUCAUUGCUUUUGCAAUUACUGUAAAACUUUAUACAUCACAGCACGAGACCCUAAGCAAUCAGAUGAGUGGUACUGGGGGAGUUUUUCUUUUAAAUGGGAUCAUGUAAUAAAGACAGAAGACUAAAUUAGCAUCUCUAAUAUGCCAGCC
Molecule: long non-coding RNA, 3681 nt
Filed under: Sus scrofa (pig)
Lineage: Eukaryota; Metazoa; Chordata; Mammalia; Artiodactyla; Suidae
Description: lncRNA (ENSSSCG00060037040.1)
Source: RNAcentral